AACGAACGCUGGCGGCAGGCUUAACACAUGCAAGUCGAGCGGGCCCUUCGGGGUCAGCGGCAGACGGGUGAGUAACGCGUGGGAAUCUACCCAUCUCUGCGGAACAACUCCGGGAAACUGGAGCUAAUACCGCAUACGCCCUUCGGGGGAAAGAUUUAUCGGGGAUGGAUGAGCCCGCGUUGGAUUAGCUAGUUGGUGGGGUAAAGGCCUACCAAGGCGACGAUCCAUAGCUGGUCUGAGAGGAUGAUCAGCCACAUUGGGACUGAGACACGGCCCAAACUCCUACGGGAGGCAGCAGUGGGGAAUAUUGGACAAUGGGCGCAAGCCUGAUCCAGCCAUGCCGCGUGAAUGAUGAAGGCCUUAGGGUUGUAAAGUUCUUUCACCGAUGAAGAUAAUGACGGUAGUCGGAGAAGAAGCCCCGGCUAACUUCGUGCCAGCAGCCGCCGUAAAAC
RNAcentral lists this ribosomal RNA (452 nucleotides) under uncultured bacterium. RNAcentral describes it as "bacterial SSU rRNA". It matches the Rfam family "Bacterial small subunit ribosomal RNA", at positions 29 to 526 of the family's 1533-position model. The record is from RNAcentral.